This 530-nucleotide ribosomal RNA is filed under the name uncultured bacterium. Its description in RNAcentral is "partial 16S ribosomal RNA". The stretch from base 16 to 371 matches the Rfam family "Bacterial small subunit ribosomal RNA", at positions 43 to 396 of the family's 1533-position model. The record is from RNAcentral.
AUUGAACGCUGGCGGCAUGCCUUACACAUGCAAGUCGAACGGCAGCAUGAUCUAGCUUGCUAGAUUGAUGGCGAGUGGCGAACGGGUGAGUAAUACAUCGGAACGUGCCCUGUAGUGGGGGAUAACUAGUCGAAAGAUUAGCUAAUACCGCAUACGACCUGAGGGUGAAAGUGGGGGACCGCAAGGCCUCAUGCUAUAGGAGCGGCCGAUGUCUGAUUAGCUAGUUGGUGGGGUAAAGGCCCACCAAGGCGACGAUCAGUAGCUGGUCUGAGAGGACGAUCAACCACACUGGGACCGAACGGCGACCCAAGACACGACGGGGUGAAGGAGUAGGAAAGUUGGAAAAAGGGGGGGAACGUUAAAACACGAAGGGCAGGUGUGUGAAGAAGGCAUUAGUGUAGUAAAGCAUGUUAGACAAAAAAAAAAGCUAAAAAACUAAAAGGGGUGGGAGAUGAAGGAACAGGAAAAAGAAGGACAGGCUAACUACGUGACAGGAGAGGGGUGAAUAGAGGAAGGAGAAAGGGGUGAAC